UCCAUAACCUUGGGCAUAACAACAUGAUGAGACUAUUGGUCCGAGCCAUACAUACGGAUGAAAAUGCCAGUCCCAAGCAGCUGCCGUCAAUCCUUCCUCUCAUCGCCGGUUUCUGCCAAGUCAGCCACCGCAGUUCGUUGCCGAGAGUCCCUCCAAGCUCGCCUGUUCCGCCGCCGCCAGUGUUAAGAACGGCGGCGGGGAUUCGCCUUUUCCAGCGAGGAAGCGGUGUUGAGGAUCGGCCGUGGAGAGUUCGGCCCACCAUCAGUUCCGUGCGAGCUUCUCCUUGCUCGCCGGCCAUCUUCAACCUCGCCGGUCCGUCACCGCCUUGCCAGCCGUUCAGACCCUCUGAGCGGCCGUCGGUCAGCCGAGCUCAGUCGAUCCUUAAUUUGAUUUGGGCGAUCGGGUUUAGCUCAUUCGGUUCUCGAUUAGGUCUUCGCAAACUGAUCGAAUCAAUUUCAAUAUUCAUAUAAAGAUACAAGUCAUCUCCUUCGAUUCUCAGCGGUUCGGUUUCUUCUCUACUCUCUUCACCAAGUUUGAUUCUUUAAUACUUCUCUAAAAAAUUAAUUUUAUGCUAAAUGUGUAUGUGCAUUUAUUUAUUUCUAUAUGUCGGCAUAUGAAUAAAUAUGUUUUUUUUUUAUGCAUAUGAAUUUAUAUUUGUUUGAUCUUCGUUGUUUUUUUGGUUUUUUUUCUUGGUAUUUUCUAUGUCUAUUAAGCCUAGCUGAGCUCUCGUUUCCACUAGUUGACAAUUUUUUGUCCUUUGUUCUCUGUUUAGUCAAUUUACAUGUAUGUGCUUCAUAUAUAUAGAUUAUGUUAUAACCUAUUACCAAAGAAUCAAUUUUAUAUUGAUAUACAUACAUGCUCACAGUGUAUGUAAAGGAAGCAGAGCACAAACCUAACCAUAUUAGCUACAUGAUGACAGGGACUAUGGCGAUGAGGAAGGAUGACGAUGAUACUUCAGGUACUAUGAUAGUUACGGCAGUGGUGACAUUACACGUCGAUCUCGAAGGGUAGUACUUCGCGUUCAUAUCCGACGCGUCGGCGAUCGUGGUGGAUUGGUUGCUGGGGACGUCAUCGGUGAAGACUUUCAUCUUGCAGUUCUCAAAUCUCUCUCUCAAUCACCAAUUUCUUGGUUCUGGCUCGGAAUCAUGGGUUUCAUCAUCAGUUCUGGCUCGUCAUCGGCAUCGUGGCUCAACGUCGUCUGGAGGAAGAGUAGGGGCGGCCUGAGGAAUCGACAGUGCUAUUCACGCACAACACUUUCCCCUCUUGCUCAGAUGGGUUCAUCGGGAUUGGUUACUGCCGGCGACUGGUCCAUCUUUUUGUUUUUCCAACUGGGCCGCCUCUUUCUCUCUCUCUCCCCUCUCUCACUCUAACAGUCGCCUACCAUACACAUAUACACACCCUACACAUAUAUGCAUACAGUUUUUGGGUUUGAGUUACUUUUUUGUGGGUUUGUUAAAGGGGGUUUAGAUGAGUUCAUCGGGAAACAUGGGGAUUGGCUUCCACAUCAAAGGCCCUCUACUGAUGCAAAUAGGUAGGGUGUGCAAGGUCCUUUUCAGUCUUUUUACAAAAAAAAUUAUUUUUAUAUAUUUUAUAAAAUUAUUCAAUAAGGGUAAUUUGGUCAAUUUAGAUUUUAAAUGUGUCAAGGGACCUAAUUGCACCAAAUUGAAACUUGAGGGAUGUGAUAUGCACUAUAAACAUACUACAAGGGUGUUUUCUGCACUUCACCCUAUUAAUAUACACACAGACACAUUGUUUGGUUGCAUCUCAAGCUUUGUAAUUUGAGGUGGCUAAUUGUAUUGAUAAGUAGUUAUUAAUAUGAAAACUUAUUUUUUUGUAGGUUCAAUUUUUGAGAAGGUGAAAGCUUACUGGAAUGAGUGAAAUCGAAAAAGGGUUAGCAUCAGUCCUUAACAUUUUGCAAGAAUAAGGUUCAAGAAACAUGCCUCCUUAAUCAUCAGGUAACAAACUCUUACUUUUUCUAAAAUUUAAAUUGGCAUUUUUAGUUAUUGGUUACGUUUAUUUAUUCAUGUUUUACUUAUUGAUUUUUUGUUUUUAUUUUUGUUUCUACAUACAUAUAUAUAAUAUUGUUAUAAUGUGAUACUCGAACAAUUUAUUAAUUAGAAUUAAAGAAUUGGAAGUUUAGUUUUCAAUUUCAGAAUAUAUGUUUUACAAGUUUAUUAACACUUUUUUAAAACUUUUUCUCUUUUAUCCUUAUUAGGUCUCUUUUCUGAAAGAAGAGAAUUGAUGGGAAUGGGUGGAGUAGGCAAAAAGAAUACCCUUUGUAGAGGGAAAAGAGAAGUGUUACUUGACCCCGUUUGGCAUAAAAAAAAUUGAUGAUCUGGAAGAACAUGCAGCGCAUGUAUGUAUUCUUACUUGAGGACUAUGGUAUGUUUUAAAUUCUUUUUUUGUUUUGUUUCAAGUCUGAAAUUUUUUUUCUUUUUAAUCUAGAAGUACUAUUUGUUUAUAUUAACAGCGGGUAAGAAUGACUAAUCAAAAAAAAAAAAAAAAACUGGGUAAGAAUGCAAAGUAUGU
Long non-coding RNA from Cornus florida, 2529 nucleotides. RefSeq lists it as uncharacterized. The transcript has 2 exons. Lineage: Eukaryota; Viridiplantae; Streptophyta; Magnoliopsida; Cornales; Cornaceae. The record is from RefSeq and is a predicted model, not a curated record.